This 616-nucleotide long non-coding RNA is filed under the name Apteryx rowi (Okarito brown kiwi). RNAcentral describes it as "lncRNA (ENSARWG00000002478.1)". Lineage: Eukaryota; Metazoa; Chordata; Aves; Apterygiformes; Apterygidae. The record is from RNAcentral.
GUCAACCUGGGAUGCACAGAUCCUGCAGGCCUGUGAAACUGCUCUCAGAGAUCCAUAAAAAUGACUUAGAGAAGCAAGAUCAGGUAUGCGAUUCCUUGUGAAAAAAAAAGUGAACAGCCUUCUAGUCUGGACUGUGAGAUACAGGAGAUGGCAGAUUGAUUUAUGUAAUUCUGUUCUGCUGAUUUCCCCUGCUUCUGCUUGAAUUCCAGCCUGAGUUUCACAAUCUGAGUUUCACAACUGUUUUAAAGAGUCUGCUUUCUGGCUCUGGAAGCUGCCUGCCACACAGCUCCAGGCUUGCUUGGCUUCUUGCCAUUCCUGGUACAGGAAUCUCAGAAGCCAUAUGAAACCUUGUUUUGGCAGGGAGAAAUGCUAGUUUUACUCAGAAGUGGGCUGUUGGUGAGGAUGGAUACUGCCUGUGUUGGUGGUGAUGCUUCAACCCUCCUGUGUGUCUGGAUUCUUGCCUUCUAAGAAAUUUGUUUCUAACACUGCUCACCCAGUGAAUGGCCUGCUGUCGCUGACCUCACUUCAGCUGAGCCAAUCAAAGUGCUUUUGGGUCAAGACUGACUAUCCAAAGUCGUGGAUCUUAGGUAGGUGGGAGCCCCCAGUAGCCGAGUGA